This 23-nucleotide non-coding RNA is filed under the name Arabidopsis thaliana (thale cress). The record is from RNAcentral. Lineage: Eukaryota; Viridiplantae; Streptophyta; Magnoliopsida; Brassicales; Brassicaceae.
AGUAUUCUAGAGAUGAGCGUGGA